UUUACCCAGUCCUGACUUUCCUAAUGAGCUUAAAAUAGUUAUAAAAUAAAUUAAAUGAGUGAUGACAGCCCUGUUUGCUUAGAUAAAAUGGCGUCUGGUGGCCGCGCGCCAACUAUGCGCUGUAAUAUCUGACGUUUGACGCCACGACUCGUUUUGUAUCUGUGGAGUGCCCGACGCCAUUUACGGGUUAGGCUACUUUGGCGCGCUUUUAAUAUCAACUCGGAUAUGCGUCAUUAAAUACAAAGACGUUAUUCAGAGAUUAAUUGAAGGAUUUCAGUUUGUAAUACAUGUCAUAUAAGAUUUAGGACUUUUUAGUGCUUGUUUAUUGAUGUAUUAUUGAGGAAGUGUUAACAGUCCAUAUACGAAUCAUAUUCAUGCAAUUUCUGUAGUGUAUGAGAGUGACAAGUCUAUCACUGCGAUCCCCCCUCGGCGCUCAGUUAUUGACCCGGCUGGCGGGCGUGCGCGCGCACCCCGGCUCUCAGACUAAGCUAGAUCAGUCUAUCUCUAGAUCUUACAAUGCCUGCACCCUGCGACUCUUGUAAAGAUACAUGCGGCGGCGGGGCGGCCGCGUGCGGCGCUAACUGCACCUGCGGCCCGUCCUGCGCAUGCGGCGAUGGCCAGCCCUCUGGUGGCAAGCCAUGCUGCAAAGGCGGAGCCGGCGCCAAAAACUAAACGACCUUUCGACUUCACUAUCCUUUUCCCAAAUGAUGCUCUACUUUAAAAUUAUAUAAUCCUUACUAUAUCUUAGAAUAAAUAGCCGUGUAACACAUAUUAUAAUGUAGUUGAUCUUUCAAUAUAUAAAUAUAAAAAUACGAUGAAGAAUGUUGUGUCGUCAUGAAAUGAAAUUAGUUUAAGAGAUUUUAGUGAUAAAUCGAUAUUGCUUAUAGGUUAGUUUUGGUCUUUGCUUGUAUUUAAUAAGUGUAGCUAUAUUAUCACAUUCAGUGUUUAACUUUAUCUUAUUAAAGGAUUUGUCCUAGUACUUGUAAUACUCAUUAUUUUAAGCUGAGAUGUGGGCACGCACACACACGUUAUGAAUCUGUGUAGUGUAUCUGAUUUAGUAAAUAAGUAAGGCAA
Molecule: long non-coding RNA, 1074 nt
Organism: Trichoplusia ni (cabbage looper)
Lineage: Eukaryota; Metazoa; Arthropoda; Insecta; Lepidoptera; Noctuidae
Exons: 4
Source: RefSeq, a predicted model, not a curated record